UCAAGAGAUAUGGCUUACCUUUUCUAAUUAAUGUCUGAUUUUGUUAUCCCUAAUCUCUCACACUAACUCGAACAAGAGACAUUUCACCAAAAAAAAAAAAACUCGAACAAGAGACAAAUACAAACCCAAUUGUGAAUUAACCCCAGAAUAGAAUAAUAUGUAAACCGACGAUUAUAAUUGGCUCAAAUCACGGAUUAUGAGUUUUCUUUUUCUUUCUUUUUUCCUUUAUUUCUUUGUUGUUGUUGAGAACGCUUUAAAGCAAAGCAAAGCAAAGCGAAGAGAGAAUCGAAAAGUAUAAUUUACUAAUCAAAAGGAAAUCGGAGAAAUAGAAUCCAUAUCGUAAAAUAAAUCACUGACACGAGAAUAUGCACAAAAUUAGGUUUCGAGCAGAUGAACCAAAAAAAAAUUCAACUUCAAAAAGAAAUAAAUAUUGGAGAAGAAGAAGAAGCUUCUUGAACAGAAAGAAUCACGGAGAGAAGUGCCAAAAAAAAAAGGGAAAUACUUUAAUAGAAAUCUUGUGAAUAUAAU
Molecule: long non-coding RNA, 528 nt
Filed under: Capsella grandiflora
Lineage: Eukaryota; Viridiplantae; Streptophyta; Magnoliopsida; Brassicales; Brassicaceae
Description: long non-coding RNA (CGRA_LNC000699)
Source: RNAcentral